AAACACCAAAAACAGUCCAAAAUCCUAUGCAGCAUAAUUUGAUAAAUUAGAUUCCUCACAGAACUGACUGCAGAUACUGUUUUUCGGCUUUCCAUGAAGCAUUACUCUGUGGAGCUGCUGUUAUAUUUUUUAAAAGCUACUCACCUUGCAGGUGUCUUACUGAAUGUUUCCUGUCCUAGGAAUGAAACUAAUUUCAUAGUUACACCAGGAAGAGUGGCAGGCUUCUUGGGUGCACUGGCAGCAACUUUGAGCCAUAGCCAGAAUUUGCCUGCAGUCCAGACUCCAGUGAAUCAAGUCAGAACUCCUUUGAAGUCGAUUAUUCCAGUCAAAUCGAUCUAGCAAGGGGCUUCCUCCUGAGUGCCAGCUCUCAGGCCCUGCCCAGGUGAGCCCAAGCUCUAAAUAUUCAAAUGUGAUCAGAUUGUUGCAAAAGCAUGUUGUGUCCUGACAAGUCUUAUCACAUGUCAGGGGAUGAGCAGAGAAAUGUCUUCUGGCCAGAACUUGCAAAGCUGCCCCCACAGCUCUAGAGCCUAAUUACUCCCUUGAAAAACUGAAGACAGCUUUUGCAUCACCCAAACUUUGUCCCCCAAAACAUAGGAAUUCCAAAUUGCCUGGGAAUAUGCAGGUGAGGCUUCCACUUUGCUUUGCCAGUGGGGUGGGUGCCCCCUCACCCCACCAUGUCAUUAAGUGAAAACCAUUGAAUUGUGGAACAAAUCCUCAGGGAAACCUUGUUACUUGGUAUUUUUGAAGGGAAAAUGGCCAAAUUAACUUGAAUAGUGUAGAACUGUUGCCUAUAGGUGUGUCUCCCCAUGCCAAACAGGCAUGUGAGCUUGGUGAACUGCUUGGCUGCAAGCGAGAGAUUCAGCUGGAUCAACUCAUUAUUCUCUGAGUUCAGGUUCAGUCUGCUUUACCUCAGUUAUAGUUACACUAAACUUAAAGUACAUUAUUUGACUUCUUGAUGAGACUUACUUAAUUCUGUGCUGUGAGUCAGCUGACACCAAGAAAGAUGGCAAGGCCACAGAAGUAGUUUUUUUAUUCGGGACUGAGUAGAUUAAUGUCAAUACUCACAGGGAAGGAGCAUGCGAUUCUCAUUUUCUAAAAGAAAAACAAUAAUGGAGGUUAGGUUAAAAGUCUUAAUGCUACUUGAAAUUUCAGAAAAGCCUUUAUAAGACCAUUCAAAAGCACAUGUUUUAUAAAUACAAAAUGAGCCUUUGCUCAAAAGUAGCUCUUAUUCUGAGGAAGUAAAAAUGACUUGAUGCUACAUCAGCAGGGAAGGUUNNNNNNNNNNNNNNNNNNNNNNNNNNNUGGAAGUAUGUUCCUGGUGGGGGGGGGAGGAGGGGGG
Molecule: long non-coding RNA, 1339 nt
Filed under: Struthio camelus australis
Lineage: Eukaryota; Metazoa; Chordata; Aves; Struthioniformes; Struthionidae
Description: lncRNA (ENSSCUG00000005193.1)
Source: RNAcentral